AGUUCAUGCUGAUUGACUGAUAGUUUGGCAGCAAUUUAUUAUCAUAUUAACAGUUCUAAAUGGAAGAACAGCCAAAUUACAUGCCACUUCAAACCAGUGACUAGGUUACAAAGGGAAAAAUGCUCGCCAAACUAUCAGUCAAUCAGCAUGAACUUUUUCGUACAAAUUCAAAAUCCAUGUUUUCCAUUAUGAUUUGCAGAUACUUCCAAUCUCAACAUUGAUGAAUGCAACAAUUAUCGCCACUUUUGCUCUACCUACAACAAUUUUAUUGCAUCUGCACUGCAUGUUUAUUAAGAUCAGUAAUUGUGUCCUCAUAAAACCACCCCAAUACACCAUGCCCAGUUUCUUCGAUAAGGAAAUGCAUCAGUAGACACGAGCUUUAGGUGGGAAUGACUCAACCUCGUCAUCUAGUGUAUUCAUGUGUACUGGCCUGUAAUCGAGUCGGACCUUUUCCUUCUCCCAAUAUCCCAAAGUGUGCUUCAUCCAGUUCUCAUCAUCUCUUUUAGUGAAAUCUUCACGGGCAUGUGCUCCUCUGCUCUC
RNAcentral lists this unclassified non-coding RNA (540 nucleotides) under Hevea brasiliensis (rubber tree). Lineage: Eukaryota; Viridiplantae; Streptophyta; Magnoliopsida; Malpighiales; Euphorbiaceae. The record is from RNAcentral.